RNAcentral lists this ribosomal RNA (241 nucleotides) under Staphylococcus aureus. RNAcentral's name for it is "partial 23S ribosomal RNA". It matches the Rfam family "Bacterial large subunit ribosomal RNA", at positions 1516 to 1754 of the family's 2925-position model. Lineage: Bacteria; Bacillati; Bacillota; Bacilli; Caryophanales; Staphylococcaceae. The record is from RNAcentral.
GCAGUAAGGCUGAGUAUUAGGCAAAUCCGGUACUCGUUAAGGCUGAGCUGUGAUGGGGAGAAGACAUUGUAUCUUCGAGUCGUUGAUUUCACACUGCCGAGAAAAGCCUCUAGAUAGAAAAUAGGUUCCCGUACCGCAAACCGACACAGGUAGUCAAGAUGAGAAUUCUAAGGUGAGCGAGCGAACUCUCGUUAAUGAACUCGGCAAAAUGACCCCGUAACUUAGGGAGAAGGGGUGCUCU